CAGUAGCCACGGUAAUACGAAGGGGGCUAGCGUUGCUCGGAAUCACUGGGCGUAAAGGGUGCGUAGGCGGGUCUUUAAGUCAGGGGUGAAAUCCUGGAGCUCAACUCCAGAACUGCCUUUGAUACUGAAGAUCUUGAGUUCGGGAGAGGUGAGUGGAACUGCGAGUGUAGAGGUGAAAUUCGUAGAUAUUCGCAAGAACACCAGUGGCGAAGGCGGCUCACUGGCCCGAUACUGACGCUGAGGCACGAAAGCGUGGGGAGCAAACAGGAUUAGAUACCCGAGUAGUCCCUGUCUCUUAUAC
RNAcentral lists this ribosomal RNA (301 nucleotides) under uncultured bacterium. RNAcentral describes it as "partial 16S ribosomal RNA". It matches the Rfam family "Bacterial small subunit ribosomal RNA", at positions 509 to 807 of the family's 1533-position model. The record is from RNAcentral.